UCUAGUCUAGCAUUACUGAGUAAUAUGGAGGAGACGUGGUCAACAUUUACUCCGUCGUCUGGAAUAUAGUUGCUAACUUGUUUCUAAUAAACAAACGAGCAUGGACGGGUAGGUCUGAAUGUCAGCUGAAGAUCGAGGGCGGGCGACCGAUACAACUCCCACGUACGCACCAUCUCUCUGAUCUGUUCCUCUUUCUCAAAUUCAAGAUUCCAUUCCAGACUACUCCUAGAGACCCUUCACGAAGGCAAUGUCUCUCACACCUUUGAUGUUUAGGUCACUGCUGAGGCUGCUCACAUCGCUGAUUGGAGAGCCUGCGUCUUCAAUCUCGACCUUACUGUACUACAGCCGUCUUCUUCCUCAGAAUAUCGUUCUGGAGAGACUGGUUCGCCAUGAUUUGCUCGAUGACGAAAACUAUCUCUUCCAUUUUCUUAUUAACUUCCUCAGAUGCUUCUGGUAGUUAUAUAAUCAGAUGUUGCCUGAAUCCGUACCUUGCUGAGAUUUGACUCGAUCGUCUGUUUGAUGGUCUCCGGUCUCCUCCAUAUAUGGAUUUAGCAAACUGAGAUAUUGGUGGGUUCUCAAUUUUUGACCUUUUUUUUCAUACAAUUAAACUUUUGCAUAAUCAUUUGAUGGAAUCGUUACUUUGCUAAUUUAUGAGUAUAUUGAUGUUAGAUUUCAAUUCACAAUGAAUAAAGUUUUUUUUUCAGACAA
This is a long non-coding RNA of Carya illinoinensis, 708 nucleotides long. RefSeq lists it as uncharacterized. NCBI's taxonomy places the organism in Eukaryota, Viridiplantae, Streptophyta, Magnoliopsida, Fagales, Juglandaceae. The transcript has 2 exons. The record is from RefSeq and is a predicted model, not a curated record.